GGGCCCGCACAAGCGGUGGAGCAUGUGGUUCAAUUCGAAGCAACGCGAAGAACCUUACCAGCCCUUGACAUCCCGGUCGCGGGAACGAGAGAUCGAUCCCUUCAGUUCGGCUGGACCGGAGACAGGUGCUGCAUGGCUGUCGUCAGCUCGUGUCGUGAGAUGUUGGGUUAAGUCCCGCAACGAGCGCAACCCUCGCCCUUAGUUGCCAUCAUUCAGUUGGGCCCUCUAAGGGGACUGCCGGUGAUAAGCCGCGAGGAAGGUGGGGAUGACGUCAAGUCCUCAUGGCCCUUACGGGCUGGGCUACACACGUGCUACAAUGGCGGUGACAGUGGGAUGCAAUGGGGCAACCCUGCGCAAAUCUCAAAAAGCCGUCUCAGUUCGGAUUGUGCUCUGCAACUCGAGCACAUGAAGUUGGAAUCGCUAGUAAUCGCAGAUCAGCACGCUGCGGUGAAUACGUUCCCGGGCCUU
RNAcentral lists this ribosomal RNA (468 nucleotides) under uncultured bacterium. Its description in RNAcentral is "bacterial SSU rRNA". It matches the Rfam family "Bacterial small subunit ribosomal RNA", at positions 917 to 1382 of the family's 1533-position model. The record is from RNAcentral.